This 458-nucleotide ribosomal RNA is filed under the name uncultured bacterium. RNAcentral's name for it is "partial 16S ribosomal RNA". It matches the Rfam family "Bacterial small subunit ribosomal RNA", at positions 338 to 795 of the family's 1533-position model. The record is from RNAcentral.
CCUACGGGAGGCAGCAGUGAGGAAUAUUGGUCAAUGGGCGAGAGCCUGAACCAGCCAAGUCGCGUGAGGGAGUACUGCCCUAUGGGUUGUAAACCUCUUUUGUCGGGGAGCAAAAGCCGGACGUGUCCGGCUGUGAGAGUACCCGAAGAAAAAGCAUCGGCUAACUCCGUGCCAGCAGCCGCGGUAAUACGGAGGAUGCGAGCGUUAUCCGGAUUUAUUGGGGUAAAAGGGUGCGCAGGCGGAUUGUAAAGUCAGCGGUCAAAUCGUGGGGCUCAACCCCAUCCAGCCGUUGAAACUGGGGAUCUAGAGUGUGCGAGAGGUAUGCGGAAUGCGUGGUGUAGCGGUGAAAUGCAUAGAGAUCACGCAGAACCCUGAUUGCGAAGGCAGCAUACCGGUGCACAACUGACGCUCAGGCACGAAAGCGUGGGUAUCGAACAGGAUUAGAUACCCCAGUAGUC